RNAcentral lists this ribosomal RNA (1476 nucleotides) under Leuconostoc mesenteroides subsp. mesenteroides. Its description in RNAcentral is "bacterial SSU rRNA". It matches the Rfam family "Bacterial small subunit ribosomal RNA". Lineage: Bacteria; Bacillati; Bacillota; Bacilli; Lactobacillales; Lactobacillaceae. The record is from RNAcentral.
GAUGAACGCUGGCGGCGUGCCUAAUACAUGCAAGUCGAACGCACAGCGAAAGGUGCUUGCACCUUUCAAGUGAGUGGCGAACGGGUGAGUAACACGUGGACAACCUACCUCAAGGCUGGGGAUAACAUUUGGAAACAGAUGCUAAUACCGAAUAAAACUUAGUGUCGCAUGACACAAAGUUAAAAGGCGCUUCGGCGUCACCUAGAGAUGGAUCCGCGGUGCAUUAGUUAGUUGGUGGGGUAAAGGCCUACCAAGACAAUGAUGCAUAGCCGAGUUGAGAGACUGAUCGGCCACAUUGGGACUGAGACACGGCCCAAACUCCUACGGGAGGCUGCAGUAGGGAAUCUUCCACAAUGGGCGAAAGCCUGAUGGAGCAACGCCGCGUGUGUGAUGAAGGCUUUCGGGUCGUAAAGCACUGUUGUAUGGGAAGAACAGCUAGAAUAGGAAAUGAUUUUAGUUUGACGGUACCAUACCAGAAAGGGACGGCUAAAUACGUGCCAGCAGCCGCGGUAAUACGUAUGUCCCGAGCGUUAUCCGGAUUUAUUGGGCGUAAAGCGAGCGCAGACGGUUUAUUAAGUCUGAUGUGAAAGCCCGGAGCUCAACUCCGGAAUGGCAUUGGAAACUGGUUAACUUGAGUGCAGUAGAGGUAAGUGGAACUCCAUGUGUAGCGGUGGAAUGCGUAGAUAUAUGGAAGAACACCAGUGGCGAAGGCGGCUUACUGGACUGCAACUGACGUUGAGGCUCGAAAGUGUGGGUAGCAAACAGGAUUAGAUACCCUGGUAGUCCACACCGUAAACGAUGAACACUAGGUGUUAGGAGGUUUCCGCCUCUUAGUGCCGAAGCUAACGCAUUAAGUGUUCCGCCUGGGGAGUACGACCGCAAGGUUGAAACUCAAAGGAAUUGACGGGGACCCGCACAAGCGGUGGAGCAUGUGGUUUAAUUCGAAGCAACGCGAAGAACCUUACCAGGUCUUGACAUCCUUUGAAGCUUUUAGAGAUAGAAGUGUUCUCUUCGGAGACAAAGUGACAGGUGGUGCAUGGUCGUCGUCAGCUCGUGUCGUGAGAUGUUGGGUUAAGUCCCGCAACGAGCGCAACCCUUAUUGUUAGUUGCCAGCAUUCAGAUGGGCACUCUAGCGAGACUGCCGGUGACAAACCGGAGGAAGGCGGGGACGACGUCAGAUCAUCAUGCCCCUUAUGACCUGGGCUACACACGUGCUACAAUGGCGUAUACAACGAGUUGCCAGCCCGCGAGGGUGAGCUAAUCUCUUAAAGUACGUCUCAGUUCGGAUUGUAGUCUGCAACUCGACUACAUGAAGUCGGAAUCGCUAGUAAUCGCGGAUCAGCACGCCGCGGUGAAUACGUUCCCGGGUCUUGUACACACCGCCCGUCACACCAUGGGAGUUUGUAAUGCCCAAAGCCGGUGGCCUAACCUUUUAGGAAGGAGCCGUCUAAGGCAGGACAGAUGACUGGGGUGAAG